AAGUCGUAACAAGGUCUCCGUUGGUGAACCAGCGGAGGGAUCAUUACCGAGUUUCCAACUCCCAAACCCCUGUGAACAUACCUAUCGUUGCUUCGGCGGGAUCGCCCCGGCGCCGCCGGGCCCGGACCCAGGCGCCCGCCGGAGAACCCAAUUCAAACUCUUUUGUCUCUGCGAGUACCAUCUGAGUGAUACAAGCAAAUAAAUCAAAACUUUCAACAACGGAUCUCUUGGUUCUG
RNAcentral lists this unclassified non-coding RNA (236 nucleotides) under fungal sp. RNAcentral describes it as "partial internal transcribed spacer region". The stretch from base 1 to 46 matches the Rfam family "Eukaryotic small subunit ribosomal RNA", at positions 1786 to 1831 of the family's 1831-position model. Lineage: Eukaryota; Fungi. The record is from RNAcentral. RNAcentral also lists the same sequence under 1 other name.